AACUCUUAGUGGUGGAUCACUCGGCUCGUGUGUCGAUGAAGAACGCAGCUAGCUGUGAGAACUAAUUUGAAUUGCAGGACACAUUGAUCAUCAACACUUCGAACACACCUUCCGGCCCUGGGGCCCUACCGGGGCUACGCCUGUCUGAGCGUAG
Molecule: ribosomal RNA, 154 nt
Organism: Phycodurus eques (leafy seadragon)
Lineage: Eukaryota; Metazoa; Chordata; Actinopteri; Syngnathiformes; Syngnathidae
Product: 5.8S ribosomal RNA
Exons: 1
Source: RefSeq, a predicted model, not a curated record